AUUGAACGCUGGCGGCAGGCCUAACACAUGCAAGUCGGACGGUAGCACAGGGGAGCUUGCUCCUCGGGUGACGAGUGGCGGACGGGUGAGUAAUGUCUGGGGAUCUGCCCGAUAGAGGGGGAUAACCACUGGAAACGGUGGCUAAUACCGCAUAACGUCGCAAGACCAAAGAGGGGGACCUUCGGGCCUCUCACUAUCGGAUGAACCCAGAUGGGAUUAGCUAGUAGGCGGGGUAACGGCCCACCUAGGCGACGAUCCCUAGCUGGGCUGAGAGGAUGACCAGCCACACUGGAACUGAGACACGGUCCAGACUCCUACGGGAGGCGGCAGUGGGGAAUAUUGCACAAUGGGCGCAAGCCUGAUGCAGCCAUGCCGCGUGUAUGAAGAAGGCCUUCGGGUUGUAAAGUACUUUCAGCGGGGAGGAAGGCGAUGUGGUUAAUAACCUUGUCGAUUGACGUUACCCGCAGAAGAAGCACCGGCUAACUCCGUGCCAGCCGCCGCCGUAA
This 506-nucleotide ribosomal RNA is filed under the name uncultured bacterium. RNAcentral describes it as "partial 16S ribosomal RNA". It matches the Rfam family "Bacterial small subunit ribosomal RNA", at positions 29 to 523 of the family's 1533-position model. The record is from RNAcentral.